GAACAUUUGCUCUUUUAGUAUUUCUCCAGUAGGUUUCCUCACAGAGAAAGCGCCCCA
Molecule: non-coding RNA, 57 nt
Organism: Salmo salar (Atlantic salmon)
Lineage: Eukaryota; Metazoa; Chordata; Actinopteri; Salmoniformes; Salmonidae
Source: Rfam